This 69-nucleotide transfer RNA is filed under the name Ictidomys tridecemlineatus (thirteen-lined ground squirrel). Its description in RNAcentral is "Spermophilus tridecemlineatus (thirteen-lined ground squirrel) tRNA". It matches the Rfam family "tRNA". Rfam says of the family: Transfer RNA (tRNA) molecules are approximately 80 nucleotides in length. Their secondary structure includes four short double-helical elements and three loops (D, anti-codon, and T loops). Further hydrogen bonds mediate the characteristic L-shaped molecular structure. tRNAs have two regions of fundamental functional importance: the anti-codon, which is responsible for specific mRNA codon recognition, and the 3' end, to which the tRNAs corresponding amino acid is attached (by aminoacyl-tRNA synthetases). tRNAs cope with the degeneracy of the genetic code in two manners: having more than one tRNA (with a specific anti-codon) for a particular amino acid; and 'wobble' base-pairing, i.e. permitting non-standard base-pairing at the 3rd anti-codon position. Lineage: Eukaryota; Metazoa; Chordata; Mammalia; Rodentia; Sciuridae. The record is from Rfam by way of RNAcentral.
GGGGUUGUAGCUCAGCAGUAGAGCGCUCACCUAGCAAGUGCGAAGCGCUGGGUUCAAUCCUCAGCACCA